Molecule: ribosomal RNA, 492 nt
Filed under: uncultured bacterium
Lineage: Bacteria
Description: partial 16S ribosomal RNA
Rfam family: Bacterial small subunit ribosomal RNA
Source: RNAcentral
AGUGAACGCUGGCGGUAGGCCUAACACAUGCAAGUCGAACGGCAGCACAGUAAGAGCUUGCUCUUACGGGUGGCGAGUAGCGGACGGGUGAGGAAUACAUCGGAAUCUACUUUUUCGUGGGGGAUAACGUAGGGAAACUUACGCUAAUACAGAAUACGACCUACGGGUGAAAGCAGGGGAUCUUCGGACCUCGGGCGAUUGAAUGAGCGGAUGUCGGAUUAGCUAGUUGGAGGGGGCAAGGCCCAACAGGGCGACGAUCCGUAGCUGAUGUGAGAGGAUGAUCGGCCACACUAGAGCGGAGACACGGACCAGACGCCUACGGGAGGCAGCAGUGGGGAAUAUUGGACAAUAGUCGCAAGCCUGGUCCAACCAGACCGCGUGUGUGGAGGAAGCGUUCGGGUUGGGAAGCCCGUUUGUUGGGAAAGAAAAGCAGCAGGUUAAUACCCCGCUAUUCUGACGGUACCCAAAGAAAAAGCACCGGCUAACUACGUG